Molecule: long non-coding RNA, 1097 nt
Organism: Chinchilla lanigera (long-tailed chinchilla)
Lineage: Eukaryota; Metazoa; Chordata; Mammalia; Rodentia; Chinchillidae
Exons: 4
Source: RefSeq, a predicted model, not a curated record
GACAAAAGACAAGUGAGAGGUUGAAGAGAAUGAGCUUUCUGUCCAAGGGCUGGCACAUCUAAUAUGCACUAUUAGGUAGGAGUGAUGGAGCUGAGAAAGAAUUACUGGCAAAUGCUGUUGACCUUAAACCCUGAGUCCUUAGUGGAAAGAAUACUGACUGGCAUUGAAAAACCCAGGUCCAGGUCUCAGCCCUGCCACAAACUGGCUUUGUGACCUAGGGUAAGUUACAUCAUAUCAGCAUUUUUCCACCAGUGGUUUGGUAAGGUACUGAGGUGUUAGCCAAGCUUGAGAUACUGUUAAUCCCCACAUCAGUUUUUGUCCUUCCUUCUGUCAUCAAGAGAUGGUAUUCCUGUCCCAGAAAGCAUCAGCGGAGAACAAACAUUUUUAAAUAAGAAUGCUCCACCCUCCUAUGUUUGUGUUGGUGGGAGAAAGAGGAAACAGGCACCAAAGGCAUGAGUAAGGCCCUUCCCUUCUCCCUGCAGGCCUCAAGCAACCCAAACUGUAUGCUGAACAGUUAGCAGUGAUCCCAGGGAAGUAGAAUUAGUAUCUAAGACUUAGGAAAAUAUUCCUUUUUUCAUGAAGGCUUUUUAUUUGGAAGAUUAACUAUCCCUGAGAACUCACUCCCUUGAUUGGAGAGAGAGAUAGUAGUUACAUACGUGCUUCUGCAGCAGCUGGAUGCACAGAGAAACCUGUAAGACAUGCAGAAUUAAAUAUGUCCUCUGCGACUCUGGAAAGGACCUCUGGAAGCUUGCAGUGGUGUCCUUUUACUGUGUCCCAUGUUUUUGUGUACUGACUGCCUUAAUAAUGAAUCAGUCAGGACUAUAACUACAUGCUGAGUCCUGUGAGCCCUCCCAAGUCCCAUCCUGGAUUUCAAUGCAAGCCUCAGUACCCAACUUGAAGGACCCUUAUAUGUUGUGGAGACCAACUCUUGAUGGAGGAGCAUCUCUCAGGCAGUUCUAUGGAACAGCGUUAGAGUAAACUGAGGAAUGACCAGGGACACCAAGUCAGGAAGAAGUUUGACAAACAGAUCAGCAGGAUGGUCAUGCCAGCGCUGAACCUCUUUAAUCUUGAGCAGAGACCUGAACAUUUUGCUUGCC